AGCAGUCGCCACGGUAAUACGUAGGGUGCAAGCGUUAAUCGGAAUUACUGGGCGUAAAGCGUGCGCAGGCGGUUUCGUAAGACAGAUGUGAAAUCCCCGGGCUUAACCUGGGAACUGCAUUUGUGACUGCGAGGCUAGAGUGUGUCAGAGGGGGGUGGAAUUCCACGUGUAGCAGUGAAAUGCGUAGAUAUGUGGAGGAACACCGAUGGCGAAGGCAGCCCCCUGGGAUAACACUGACGCUCAUGCACGAAAGCGUGGGGAGCAAACAGGAUUAGAUACCCGCGUAGUCCCUGUCUCUUAUAC
This 303-nucleotide ribosomal RNA is filed under the name uncultured bacterium. RNAcentral describes it as "partial 16S ribosomal RNA". It matches the Rfam family "Bacterial small subunit ribosomal RNA", at positions 507 to 807 of the family's 1533-position model. The record is from RNAcentral.